GUCAGAGCCCCCUGCCCCUUCUGCUUCUCCAGACAGAUGGACAGCCGGCCAGUUCACCUUUCAGGGAAGAGGAGUUCAUUAUAGUUUGCUUGUGCCAUCGCUUGUCUCUGCAGCACAGUGCUAUGAUACAGGGACGUGAUAGAAUGUGGAAACGGUCAUAGCUGGUAUUAACUGCUAAUCACUAACCUUGUGCUGAACUGCACACGAAUGUCUUUUGAAUGCUCUGAGUGAUUUAUAAUAUGCUGAAACAGAUCUACUUGCUGUCAAACUAGUAUGUUACUGGAUGUGGCAGGGAAGCCAUGUUCUUCAUAGUGAAGUGAAUGCAAUUUGAGGUUAAUUAUAUUAUUAGCUCUUGCUUUUUGCUCAUUCUUACCCCAGCGGUGUUGACUUUCUCAGCAAUGCACUACUUCAAUGAUUAUUCCUCCUCCAAUCACAUACUAACAUACAAAACAUUGUUUUUCUCAUGUAUCUAUACAACUUUAACAGUUCAACAUGCAGGCAGGGUAGAGCGAUCAUGAUGUGUGUGUAUUUUUCAGAUUGAUGAGCUGUCUAUUAAACCUUCUGAUCGAUCCCAGGUGUCUGGCCCCGGGCCUUCAUCCCAGAUCUACGAUAACAACGCCCUCCCUGAGCUGCCCUCAGUUCCCGACACGCUUCCCACUUCCUCCUUUGGAGUUGGACGAAACACUGCGAGCUCUGAUGACAUCGACUUUGAUGACCUGUCACGGCGCUUUGAGGAUCUGAAGAAGAAGACCUAAUCCUCCAGUAUCCCAUCAUGCUGUGUUGUCAGUCACCGCAGUUACAGGAAAUGUUUAAAUAUUUGGAUUGGCACCCUUUGCAGUGAAACUCUCCUCACUGUGUAGUUUUACUGAUGUUAACAUGAACUGUACCUCAUUUAAACACACGUGUCUGUCUGGCAUACUGAAGGUGAAGGCCCUUUAGAGGGCUAUUUGACAGUACAUUUUGCAGUACACUUUAUUAUCGACUACGUCCAAUCAACUGGACCAUAUAGGUGUCAUCUUUAUAUGAGCACUUUGGAUAUGAAAUGGCCUUCCUGAUAGUAACUAGUACUCUAUGUAACCUCUCAAUCUUUCUCGUUGUUAUGGUUGUCCCCUAUCCCCUUGACUCACAGUAUGAGACAAUAUUUGGUUAAUAAUCAAAUAGUCUUAACUAGUAGGGUCUCUCGUCCAGAGACUGGAUUGAGUAAUCCAGAAUGUCAAUAGUGUGUCGUUGGUGGGUUUCAUGAACCUGUUUUUUUACCUGCCACUGAAUCGCCUACUAGAACAACCUGUUUUCUGGCACACCCAUUAUGUCGAAAUAUUCAGGCCUAGGACAUUUUCAAGACCGGGUGCUACGGCCUGUCGGGUUUUACCCUCGUUACUCUCUGGGUCUGGACCUUUGGGGACAUCUGAAACCGGUUCUUUGACAUAUCUGUUACCUUACAUGGGGUGAAGGGAUUUAAUUAGACUUGAUUGAUAAAGUGGGGUAUUGCGAUAUGAAAUACACAAUGCUAUUUACAGGAAGGAUUGUUUUAAUUGUACAGCAAACGAAUGUUGGUAGGAGGUUGAAGGCAAGAGUUGGAAAAUAUUUUUAUUUUGUACAUUUGUUCUAAUAAUAUUCACUUGAUGUUUUAAAGAUGAUUUAGUUUAACCCUAUACAUGCACUUUCCAUGUUUGUGUAAAAUAACCCAUGCAGUGUAUUGGUGACUGGAAUGCAUGAUUUCACUGGUGACAGAAAUUAUACUCUAUGACAAACCACUUGACCAUGUAAGUUUGAUGUAAAUACGUUCCUCAAAUGUAAUGGGUUCUUCUUCCUCUUUGUGUAAUAGAGGUUUAUAGUGUGAUUCAGUAUGUUAUCUAUGUAUGUGCGUCACACUGCAUUUACCAUCAUCCAAGACCUUCCCAUUCUGUAAGUAUAUUCAGACUAUGUACACGUAACAUGCUGUGGUGGAAAAACGACCCAAUUGUCAUACUUGAAUAAAAGUAAAGAUGCCUUAAUAGAAAAUGACUCAAGUGAAAGUCACCCAGUAAAAUACUACUUGAUUAAAAGUCAAAGUAUUUGGUUUUAAAAUACUUAAGUAUUGAAAGUAUAAAUAAUUAAAAAUUCCUUAUUUUAAGCAACCAGAAAACACAAUUCUUGUGUUUUUAAAUUUUGCGGAUAGCCAGGGACACACUCCCAACACAGACAUAAUACACAAACUAAGCAUUUGUGUUUAGUAAGCCCACCAGAUCAGAGGCGAUAGAGAUGACCAGGGAUGUUAUUUUGAUAGUGUGAAUUGGACCAAUUUUCUGUCCUGUUAAGCAUUCAAAAUGUAACGAGUACUUUUGGGUGUCGGGGAAAAUGUACAAUAUUUUUUUUGGGGGAAAGUAGUGAAGUAAAAGUUGUCAAAAUUAUAAAUAGUAAAGUACAGAUACUCCAGAAAAUGACUUAAGUAGUACUGUAAAGUAUUUUUACCUAAGUACUUUACACCACUUGUAACAUGCCUAUUUCUUAAUUUAUAUAAUCUUUGUUAAAAUUAGUUUUAAGUUUUUUUAUUUUAUGAACAUUGAAUCUUGGUGAUGGAAGUAGUUUUGAUAAAGGAGAGAAACGGGGCUGGAUUUGCUGUUCCAGUCUUAUAGCUUGUUUUCACUCAUUUACUAUGGAUGGAAGUUAGGACUGUCUACUCCACCAUCCUAAAAUAAGACUUUAACACUACCGUACAGUGACCCGCUCACUGCUUUGACUGCUCAUCCUCUUAGGUGUAAUAUAGGAUUGUUUGAAGAGUGUUUGAUACUAACUUUGAUUAGCAAGUGUACUGUAUAUCUUGUCACAAAACAGAUAUUAGCCUAUGUUUCUUAUGUCUAAUAAAGGACAUAUUUCUAAUUGAAGUUCUGGGGUGGCUAAUUUUCUUAGAUGUAAUUGUUUCUGUGUCAUAUCUUUUCAAGUGAAUAAGUGCUACUGUAAUCAAGGAAGUCGGUUGGUAGUGCAGUGUAGCUACUAGUGCUGCCACUAGAGAGGGUAGAUUACCAGUGUUAGUUGUUUGCAGUAACUUUGUUGUUGUAAUAUCGCCAACAGACAUGGCUGUUUCACCAUUAAGGAUUCCGGCUUUAAGACUGAAAUAUAGAGAUGUUGAUAUGAAUGUGAUGUUUUUAUACAUAUUCGUUUUUUUCUUUAGAUGCCCGGCCUCAUAGGGUUCAACUGUUGGCACAUAUGAUGCCUUUAACAACUUCCAGCCUCCAAUGAGAGGAGGACACCCCCCUGAGCUGCCCAGCUGCCCCCUCCCUACGAGUCUAUUGAUGAGCUGUCUAUUAAACCUUCUGAUCGAUCCCAGGUGUCUGGCCCCGGGCCUUCAUCCCAGAUCUACGAUAACAACGCCCUCCCUGAGCUGCCCUCAGUUCCCGACACGCUUCCCACUUCCUCCUUUGGAGUUGGACGAAACACUGCGAGCUCUGAUGACAUCGACUUUGAUGACCUGUCACGGUGCUUUGAGGAUCUGAAGAAGAAGACCUAAUCCUCCAGUAUCCCAUCAUGCUGUGUUGUCAGUCACCGCAGUUACAGGAAAUGUUUAAAUAUUUGGAUUGGCACCCUUUGCAGUAAAACUCUCCUCACUGUGUAGUUUUACUGAUGUAAACAUGGACUGUACUUCAUUCAAACACACGUGUCUGUUUGGCAUACUGAAGGUGAAGGCCCUUUAGAGGGCUAUUUGACAGUACAUUUUGCAGUACACUUUAUUAUCGACUACGUCCAAUCAACUGGACCAUAUAGGUGUCAUCUAUAUAUGAGCACUUUGGAUAUAAAAUGGCCUUCCUGAUAGUAACUAGUACUCUAUGUAACCUCUCAAUCUUUCUCGUUGUUAUGGUUGUCCCCUAUCCCCUUGACUCACAGUAUGAGACAAUAUUUGGUUAAUAAUCAAAUAGUCUUAACCAAUAGUGUCUCUCGU
Non-coding RNA from Oncorhynchus mykiss (rainbow trout), 3916 nucleotides. The record is from RefSeq and is a predicted model, not a curated record. NCBI's taxonomy places the organism in Eukaryota, Metazoa, Chordata, Actinopteri, Salmoniformes, Salmonidae.